This 253-nucleotide ribosomal RNA is filed under the name uncultured bacterium. RNAcentral's name for it is "partial 16S ribosomal RNA". It matches the Rfam family "Bacterial small subunit ribosomal RNA", at positions 524 to 776 of the family's 1533-position model. The record is from RNAcentral.
UACGUAGGGUGCAAGCGUUAAUCGGAAUUACUGGGCGUAAAGCGUGCGCAGGCGGUUUUGUAAGUCUGUCGUGAAAUCCCCGGGCUUAACCUGGGAACUGCAUUUGUGACUGCAUGGCUAGAGUGCGGCAGAGGGGGAUGGAAUUCCGCGUGUAGCAGUGAAAUGCGUAGAUAUGCGGAGGAACACCGAUGGCGAAGGCAAUCCCCUGGGCCUGCACUGACGCUCAUGCACGAAAGCCAGGGGAGCAAACGGG